Molecule: long non-coding RNA, 210 nt
Filed under: Nicotiana benthamiana
Lineage: Eukaryota; Viridiplantae; Streptophyta; Magnoliopsida; Solanales; Solanaceae
Description: long non-coding RNA (NBEN_LNC003472)
Source: RNAcentral
GAUCAGUUAUACCUGCAGCCAAAUUCUGAAUAGUCUUCAACAUUGUCCCACUCUGAUCACUAUCAUUGAAGCCAUAUAUCAUUGUGAGGCAGCAGAGAAGUCCACCACUAAGGUUCCUGACAAUGCAAUGGAUGAUUUGAGCCUCUCCCUGUACUCCAGAGAUCAAGAUUUUUGUAGGAUCCCAUAGGAUCCAUAUUCUACCAUUCACUG